CCAGAACGUGCGUAACAGGCCCGAUGAGGGUGCCAGGCUGUGGCGACCCCCGAGCUUCAGAGGAGAGGGGCACCAGCCGGGGGCCCUGCACAGGCAGCCUCAGAGAGAGGAAAGCUCACGAUCUGGGAGAACUCCAGGCCUGGCCCAGUGAAGACGUCCUUAUCUUCAGCAGACAUUGCCCAGUGCAAGGGGAGGGAUUUUUAGGGCGGCAAGCUCAGGUGGACAGGCAGUUUUAUUCUGUUUCCCAUGUCAAGUCCAGCCCCAGACUGACUUUCUGAGGUCACAGACGGAGCCUCACCCCAUCCAAGGCGGUGUCCUGGACUCCCACUGUGCUCCCCAGAGGGCAGGGUACCUGGGGCCCAGCCCGGGCGGCAGGAGGGACUCAGCCCCUCGCCCAGGCAGGAAGGGUCCCAAGCAGAGGCCCCUCCCUCAGGCACUCCCCAGCCCACACCUGCAGCACUGGGACCAAGACUAAUAAAACACCAGCCUCACGGAA
RNAcentral lists this long non-coding RNA (496 nucleotides) under Homo sapiens (human). RNAcentral's name for it is "non-protein coding LINC02593:41". Lineage: Eukaryota; Metazoa; Chordata; Mammalia; Primates; Hominidae. The record is from RNAcentral.